AGUGGCGAACGGGUGAGUAACAUAUCGGAACGUGCCUAGUAAUGGGGAACAACUAAUCGAAAGAUUAGCUAAUACCGCAUACGACCUACGGGUGAAAGCAGGGGAUCUUCGGACCUUGCGUUAUUAGAGCGGCCGAUAUCUGAUUAGCUUGUUGGUAGGGUAAAAGCCUACCAAGGCGACGAUCAGUAGCUGGUCUGAGAGGACGAUCAGCCACACUGGAACUGAGACACGGUCCAGACUCCUACGGGAGGCAGCAGUGGGGAAUUUUGGACAAUGGGGGCAACCCUGAUCCAGCCAUUCCGCGUGAGUGAAGAAGGCCUUCGGGUUGUAAAGCUCUUUCGCAAGAGAAGAAAGCUUGUUAUUUAAUAAAUAGUAAGUAUGACGGUAUCUUGACAAGAAGCACCGGCUAACUAUGUGCCAGCAGCCGCGGUAAUACAUAGGGUGCAAGCGUUAAUCGGAAUUACUGGGCGUAAAGCGUUCGCAGGCGGUCUUAUAAGUCAGAUGUGAAAUCCCCGAGCUCAACUUGGGAACUGCGUUUGAAACUGUAAGACUAGAGUGUGUCAGAGGGGGGUAGAAUUCCAUGUGUAGCAGUGAAAUGCGUAGAUAUGUGGAGGAAUACCAAUGGCGAAGGCAGCCCCCUGGGAUAACACUGACGCUCAUGAACGAAAGCGUGGGGAGCAAACAGGA
Molecule: ribosomal RNA, 687 nt
Filed under: uncultured bacterium
Lineage: Bacteria
Description: bacterial SSU rRNA
Rfam family: Bacterial small subunit ribosomal RNA
Source: RNAcentral